Dendrobium catenatum is the source of this 560-nucleotide long non-coding RNA. RefSeq lists it as uncharacterized. The record is from RefSeq and is a predicted model, not a curated record. The transcript has 2 exons. NCBI's taxonomy places the organism in Eukaryota, Viridiplantae, Streptophyta, Magnoliopsida, Asparagales, Orchidaceae.
GAAACCCGCAACGGCUCUCUCUCCCCAUCCACUGCAGUUCGCAAACGAACCCAGCCAGCCCCAGUAAAGUUCGCGAAAACUUCCUGGCUUCAUCUCUCCCAGUCGCAAGAAGGUCGAACAAGACCCCUCUCUCUGUUCGCAGACCUCCAGGCGCGAAAUCCCCCUGUCCCCUUUCAGUUCGUGAUUCCCACUUCCUCUCGAUAGUUCAAAAUCCCCAGGCCUCCUUUUCAUUCGCGAACGAGACCUUCUCCCCCUCUCCAUCGCUCUCUGGAUUCACAAGAACAGAACACCCAGGGACCCGGCUUUAACUCUCUGCCCUAACCUUGUCCGUGCCUCCAUCUGUUUCUGAUUUGCUCGGCCAAAGGCAAGAGAAAGUGGUGAACUUCCUCUUCUUCUUGAUUCUUCUUCCACUCUUCUUUGUUCUUUCUUUUAUGAAUAAUCUUGUUGGAUAGUUAGUCUACCAAAUGAGGUUAUUUAGCAAACAUUCAUUCAUUUUACUCUUAAGUUUCUGCACUUGUUUGGGUUGAGUACUAUCCUACUUAUGAAUAUUUAUUCUUCAA